GAUGAACGCUGGCGGCGUGCCUAAUACAUGCAAGUCGAGCGAACAGACGAGGAGCUUGCUCCUCUGACGUUAGCGGCGGACGGGUGAGUAACACGUGGAUAACCUACCUAUAAGACUGGGAUAACUUCGGGAAACCGGAGCUAAUACCGGAUAAUAUAUUGAACCGCAUGGUUCAAUAGUGAAAGACGGAUUUGCUGUCACUUAUAGAUGGAUCCGCGCCGCAUUAGCUAGUUGGUAAGGUAACGGCUUACCAAGGCAACGAUGCGUAGCCGACCUGAGAGGGUGAUCGGCCACACUGGAACUGAGACACGGUCCAGACUCCUACGGGAGGCAGCAGUAGGGAAUCUUCCGCAAUGGGCGAAGGCCUGACGGAGCAACGCCGCGUGAGUGAUGAAGGUCUUCGGAUCGUAAAACUCUGUUAUUAGGGAAGAACAAAUGUGUAAGUAACUAUGCACGUCUUGACGGUACCUAAUCAGAAAGCCACGGCUAACUACGUG
RNAcentral lists this ribosomal RNA (497 nucleotides) under uncultured bacterium. RNAcentral's name for it is "partial 16S ribosomal RNA". It matches the Rfam family "Bacterial small subunit ribosomal RNA", at positions 28 to 507 of the family's 1533-position model. The record is from RNAcentral.